Salvia miltiorrhiza (redroot sage) is the source of this 613-nucleotide long non-coding RNA. RefSeq lists it as uncharacterized. The record is from RefSeq and is a predicted model, not a curated record. The transcript is spliced from 3 exons. Lineage: Eukaryota; Viridiplantae; Streptophyta; Magnoliopsida; Lamiales; Lamiaceae.
AAAAAGUAAAACCUAAACCUAAACUAAUUCAGCGCCUCAAAUUUCAACUUGCAGCAGCGCUGCACCGCUUCUCUCAUCGUUCUCUCCACCACCGCGCGGUCCAAGCUGCCCCACCCCGCCACAACAGUGCCGCACCGCUUCUCUCAUCGUUCUCUCCGACUCUGCGCUUGCAAUCCCUAGAGCAGCUCGAGGCUCGAGCGCCGCAGAUCUGCGCCUCUGACCUCAGAGUUUCAGACGUCUCAACUGUUGUUCCCUACCAUCGUCAUCGGCACAUCAUUCCUUCAGGCUGAUGGAUGUAAUUGAAACAUUUGGAGAUACAUCUAAUGAUGCACCUGAAGAUACACCUGGGAUACUUCUCAUGGUGGAGGUGAUGGACCUACCCAAUCCACGCAGCCUAAGAAGAAGAGAAAAGCUAUAGAGAAAAGGUAUGUAAAAGUUAUCAUUGCAAGCUCCAACAAAUCCAACAAAUUAAUCAAUCUCCAUUAUUUGUUGGAACUUGGAAGCUUAGUUAGAGAUGAAUGAUUAUAUUGAGUAUUAUGCUAUGUAAACAUUAAAACAUAGAACUAUUUUGUUAUGUGUUGAUGACAGAUGGAUAUGUUGAACCCUUUUUUUU